RNAcentral lists this transfer RNA (74 nucleotides) under Paramuricea clavata. Its description in RNAcentral is "tRNA-Leu". The record is from RNAcentral. Lineage: Eukaryota; Metazoa; Cnidaria; Anthozoa; Malacalcyonacea; Plexauridae.
GGCCUUGUAGCUCAAAAGGCAGAGCAUCGUUCAAGACAUACGAUGGUGGCGAGUUCGAUUCCCAGCCGUGGUCA